RNAcentral lists this non-coding RNA (117 nucleotides) under Gorilla gorilla gorilla (western lowland gorilla). The record is from Rfam by way of RNAcentral. Lineage: Eukaryota; Metazoa; Chordata; Mammalia; Primates; Hominidae.
GCCGGGCGCGGUGGCUCACGCCUGUAAUCCCAGCACUUUGGGAGGCCGAGGCGGGAGGAUCACCUGAGGUCAGGAGUUUGAGACCAGCCUGGCCAACAUGGUGAAACCCUGUCUCUA